UUUUUUUUUGAGGCUGAGAGGAACCCACACAGAUUAUGUAAUAUACUUUGUGAUCAAUUAUAAACUUACAGCAUUUCUGAAAUGUUUUUUUUUCUUUAUCUUGAAUCAAGGAUCUGAAUCUGAUUGGAACACCGAGCUUUCCCAACAGCCAUGGUCAUCAUUGCACACCUGCAGUUGAAAUGCUGUUAUAACACACGUUUUACUAAUGUUCUUGCAGCUAUAUAUAUAGUGUUAUUUCUAGACAAACUGUGUAGAGUUUAUGGUUUACAGACUUGGUUGCACUGGUUCUGUUGUUUUGGGGUUUUUCUUCAAAGCUCUCACAAUGAUUCUGCUGUUGUUUUCAUUGACUGAACUGUUUCAUGUCUGGUUGUUACUACGCUUGUGAUUUCUUUCUUUUUCAGGACAUUCCAAAUUGUCGUAUUGACUUUUUUCCCUAUUUUUAGGAACUAAGUUUUACGAUGAGCUUGAAAAGGACUAAGUAUAAACUGUAACUCGUGGGCGUUUAAGCUAAUGUCGUCGUGAGAGACGGACAGCUGUAACCGCCAGCCGCAGUUUUCACCGUGGAACUGAAGGGACGAGGACUGUGGAGAACUGUGCUGAGUAGCACGGUCACUACGCCUGUGUAAGGAGGGACUCUACCGCCGAACCUGCAUCUCUGAAUCGACUCUUACCUGCUGGACCCUCGCCUGCAGCGGAUUCAUUCACUCACUCAGCUCGUUGUUUCCAGUUCAGCUGAUUUUCCUCUUCGAUAUGUGACACAGAUGUUCAAGACAUUUCUAAAAAAUAUUUGGCCCAAGAAAUUGAACUGAGGAAAGCAGACCAGACUGAAAAUGAGAAAACUGGAGAUGGAAAUUAAGCAAAUGGAGAAAGAAAGAAGCUGAAUAAGAUGACCCGGAAAAAAUGUGUUUAACCGUACACUAAAAUUAAAUUGUCCAGAGUCACAUGGCCCUCCCUACUCCACCUUCAAUUAAGCUCUUAUUGUAUCUUCUCACUGGUCUACCUACAAUCUUAGCAUACCUUCCUGAUGUAGUACAUUCACAUUGUGCAAAACUCCCUCCACAAGCCACUACAAUAUCAAGUCCAUUGUGGAAUGAUUCAGAGAUGGUUUAGACAUAAAUCUGGACUUUAGCUGUCCAAACGUAAUUGACAUACACUUUUGAAGUAGUAGAAAAGGACUUUAUAAGGAAUUCGAAUAAUACAUAGUUGGGCUGCAACAGUAACUACAGUACAUCAUUUACUGCUCUAAAUAUCAGUAUCUGAAUGGGAUUCUGGCACCUUCAGUAACUUGGAGAGGGUAAAAAUUUGUGUUUUCUGCUUGUACUGAGGUGUUAUAGAAACACCAAUAGUGUUUCAUUGAUUCAUGGACGUAUCAGAUUUGUGUAUAUUUGGGGCAAUGGUGGCAAAAUCUUGUUCCAGCUUGGAUAAACUCUGCAAGACCUCAGGAUUCAGUGGAGCUGUGUUUCAUUUCUGGUAUGUUUCUACGAACAGCUUUCCAGCUUCACCUUCUCGUCUCCUGUUAAACAAUAUUAUUUGCGCUAGAACACUUUCUGAAAGAUUUCUCCAUGCCACAGGAUCUGAGCUCUUGGUUAAUUGUUCUUUUGACUGAUCUUCCAAAAUUUUGAGGUGUUUGUGCAACCUGACAUCAUCUUCAGUCGGUGGAAGAACAUCAGCUUUGUUCCAUUUGUUUUGUUCAAGGUUGGUACUAGCUCGUUUUGAAACAAAUGUGUUCCAGUCAGAGUGAAGCAACCUGAUGAAAUUCUUGGCCUUCUGUCCUGCCUCACGGUCUUCCUUGAUCAGACUCUCGCCUAUCACAAUUUCACAGACUUUCUUGAGGGUGUCCCCAAUUUUACAAGCUAAAGAUGGGGUGUCUCAUCUGUUUUUUAUGGAUCAAACCCACUUGCUUCCAUUGCUGCCGAUACUGCUAGCUGAAAUCUUGUUGGCACACAAAACAUCCACUAGACGUUGUACAGCAGGGUUAAGCUUCUUUACUGCCAGCAUAAACCUCCCCAACUCCCGCAUUUUCUGACUGAUGUAAUUGUGCUGCGAUUUGUCCUGUCCAUGGAGCUCAAACAUCAUUUCUUCAUAUUUAUAGAUGAGAGUGUCUGACUUCACCUGAUUAGAGAGGUCAUCUUGAUGCAUGCUCAGAAUGAUGCAUUUACACCCUUCAGACACGGCAGGUUUACAUGGUGUACUUCGAGGUGCUACAGCUUGGACUCUCUUCGGUUUCCUUGAAAUGUUGUCUUUUUCAAAAAUGCAGAAAAGACUAGGUUAUGCUUUUCACAAUUCCUUUCUUUUAAAAAACCCAUCGCAAUACUAUCAUAGCAGAUAGUCUUGAUUUCGGUACUAUAGUGGAAAUUCCCUUUAUUUCGUAGUUGUCCAAGUAAUCUGUCAUGCCUUUGUCCCCUUAGUUUUUGAUAAUGCUUGUUCUACUUCAGUUUCUUUUGCAUAUUUUCUCUCGAGAUGUCUUCCCAGUUUGCUUUUCUCUGUACCACAGUAUACAAAAAAGUUUUUCUUAUCUCACUCUCUCUUCCCUCCUUCUUUUUUUGUGCACUUUUUAACAUUCACUUUUACAUUGUCUGACCUACCAUCUUCAUUUAUGGACUUUUGGGCUUUUUCUUAGUCUUUUGCUUCACAAGUGCUGUCAGAGUCCAUAUAGAUGGCAUCAGAGUCAGAACUUCCACUGGAUGAAACAUAUUCACUACCACUUGUGUGUCCUGAUGACAGAUCAGUGCUCCCAAUUUCAACAAUUUCUUCAAUCCUUAAUUCCUGUAAAAUCAAAAGUUUGAAUAUAAU
This is a long non-coding RNA of Ictalurus punctatus (channel catfish), 2793 nucleotides long. Lineage: Eukaryota; Metazoa; Chordata; Actinopteri; Siluriformes; Ictaluridae. The record is from Ensembl.